RNAcentral lists this ribosomal RNA (1384 nucleotides) under uncultured bacterium. RNAcentral describes it as "bacterial SSU rRNA". It matches the Rfam family "Bacterial small subunit ribosomal RNA", at positions 28 to 1381 of the family's 1533-position model. The record is from RNAcentral.
GACGAACGCUGGCGGCGUGCUUAACACAUGCAAGUCGAACGAAGAGCGAUGGAAGCUUGCUUCUAUCAAUCUUAGUGGCGAACGGGUGAGUAACGCGUAAUCAACCUGCCCACCAGAGGGGGACAACAGUUGGAAACGACUGCUAAUACCGCAUACGAUCUAACCUCGGCAUCGAGGAUAGAUGAAAGGUGGCCUCUACAUGUAAGCUAUCACUGAAGGAGGGGAUUGCGUCUGAUUAGCUAGUUGGAGGGGUAACGGCCCACCAAGGCGAUGAUCAGUAGCCGGUCUGAGAGGAUGAACGGCCACAUUGGGACUGAGACACGGCCCAGACUCCUACGGGAGGCAGCAGUGGGGAAUCUUCCGCAAUGGACGAAAGUCUGACGGAGCAACGCCGCGUGAGUGAUGACGGCCUUCGGGUUGUAAAGCUCUGUUAAUCGGGACGAAAGGCCUUCUUGCGAAUAGUGAGAAGGAUUGACGGUACCGGAAUAGAAAGCCACGGCUAACUACGUGCCAGCAGCCGCGGUAAUACGUAGGUGGCAAGCGUUGUCCGGAAUUAUUGGGCGUAAAGCGCGCGCAGGCGGAUCGGUCAGUCUGUCUUAAAAGUUCGGGGCUUAACCCCGUGAUGGGAUGGAAACUGCCAAUCUAGAGUAUCGGAGAGGAAAGUGGAAUUCCUAGUGUAGCGGUGAAAUGCGUAGAUAUUAGGAAGGACACCAGUGGCGAAGGCGACUUUCUGGACGAAAACUGACGCUGAGGCGCGAAAGCCAGGGGAGCGAACGGGAUUAGGUACCCCGGUAGUCCUGGCCGUAAACGAUGGGUACUAGGUGUAGGAGGUAUCGACCCCUUCUGUGCCGGAGUUAACGCAAUAAGUACCCCGCCUGGGGAGUACGACCGCAAGGUUGAAACUCAAAGGAAUUGACGGGGGCCCGCACAAGCGGUGGAGUAUGUGGUUUAAUUCGACGCAACGCGAAGAACCUUACCAGGUCUUGACAUUGAUGGACAGAACUAGAGAUAGUUCCUCUUCUUCGGAAGCCAGAAAACAGGUGGUGCACGGUUGUCGUCAGCUCGUGUCGUGAGAUGUUGGGUUAAGUCCCGCAACGAGCGCAACCCCUAUCUUAUGUUGCCAGCACUUCGGGUGGGAACUCAUGAGAGACUGCCGCAGACAAUGCGGAGGAAGGCGGGGAUGACGUCAAAUCAUCAUGCCCCUUAUGACCUGGGCUACACACGUACUACAAUGGGAGUUAAUAGACGGAAGCGAGAUUGCGAGAUGGAGCAAACCCGAGAAACACUCUCUCAGUUCGGAUCGUAGGCUGCAACUCGCCUACGUGAAGUCGGAAUCGCUAGUAAUCGCAGGUCAGCAUACUGCGGUGAAUACGUUCCCGGGCCU